CACAAACUUUAACUUACAACUAACCCGCCAGAGAACUACGAGCCACGCUUAAAACUCAAAGGACUUGACGGUAUCCUAUACCCCACUAGAGGAGCCUGUCCUAUAAUCGAUAAUCCUCGCUAAACCUCACCCUCUUUAGCUUAUCAGUCUGUAUACUUCCGUCGCCAGCCUACCGCGUGAGCGCAAUUCAGUAAGUUCUUCGUAACACGCAUGAACGUCAGGUCAAAGUGCAGCAAAUGAGAGGGGAAGAGAUGGGCUACAUUCUCUAAAACUAGAGUAUACGAAAAGCUACAUGAAACCUAGCUAGAAGGUGGAUUUAGAAGUAAGAAGAGAAUAGAGUGCUCUUCUAAACCUGGCACUUGGAUGUGUACACACCGCCCGUCACCCUCCUCAAAGCCUUUAAUUAGUACAUAACACUAAACAGCCACAAAG
This 432-nucleotide ribosomal RNA is filed under the name Craugastor aff. pygmaeus JWS-2013. Its description in RNAcentral is "partial 12S ribosomal RNA". It matches the Rfam family "Bacterial small subunit ribosomal RNA", at positions 844 to 1446 of the family's 1533-position model. The record is from RNAcentral. Lineage: Eukaryota; Metazoa; Chordata; Amphibia; Anura; Craugastoridae.